AUGGAAAGAAAAGAUUCUAUCGGUUCAAGGAUUCUGUUAAAAUCAGUGGCACGAGCAAUUCCAUCUUAUGCUAUGUAUGUGCUCAAGUUUCCUAAAGGAAUAUGUAAAUCAAUCACUGAUGAUAUGUCGAGGUUUUGGUAGGGAGAUGAAGAAGAGAAGAAGAAAAUGCACUGUUUUGCAUAGUGGAAGAUGUGUGUUCUGAAGAAGAAAGGUGGUAUGGGGUUUAGAGACCUUCACGGGUUUAAGUUUGCUAUGUUAGCAAAGUAGUGUUGUCGACUUAUCCAAAAUCCCGACUCUUUGUGUGCACGAGUGUUGAGUGCUAAAUAUUAUCCUAAUGGUGAUAUCCUAAAGGCAGGACCAAAGAAAGGGUCAUCAAUUAUGUGGCAAAGCAUUGUAGCUGGAAUUCAGACCUUCAGAAGGGGUUGUAUAUGGCGAGUGGGCUCUGGUUCACACAUAAACAUUUAG
This 465-nucleotide ribosomal RNA is filed under the name Triticum aestivum (bread wheat). RNAcentral's name for it is "partial small subunit ribosomal RNA". The record is from RNAcentral. Lineage: Eukaryota; Viridiplantae; Streptophyta; Magnoliopsida; Poales; Poaceae.